AUUGAACGCUGGCGGCAUGCUUUACACAUGCAAGUCGGACGGCAGCACAGAGAAGCUUGCUUCUUGGGUGGCGAGUGGCGAACGGGUGAGUAACAUAUCGGAACGUACCGAGUAGUGGGGGAUAACUGAUCGAAAGAUCAGCUAAUACCGCAUACGUCUUGAGAGGGAAAGCAGGGGACCUUCGGGCCUUGCGCUAUUCGAGCGGCCGAUAUCUGAUUAGCUAGUUGGUGGGGUAAAGGCCUACCAAGGCGACGAUCAGUAGCGGGUCUGAGAGGAUGAUCCGCCACACUGGGACUGAGACACGGCCCAGACUCCUACGGGAGGCAGCAGUGGGGAAUUUUGGACAAUGGGCGCAAGCCUGAUCCAGCCAUGCCGCGUGUCUGAAGAAGGCCUUCGGGUUGUAAAGGACUUUUGUCAGGGAAGAAAAGGCUGUUGCUAAUAUCAGCGGCUGAUGACGGUACCUGAAGAAUAAGCACCGGCUAACUACGUGCCAGCAGCCGCGGUAAUACGUAGGGUGCGAGCGUUAAUCGGAAUUACUGGGCGUAAAGCGAGCGCAGACGGUUACUUAAGCAGGAUGUGAAAUCCCCGGGCUCAACCUGGGAACUGCGUUCUGAACUGGGUGACUAGAGUGUGUCAGAGGGAGGUAGAAUUCCACGUGUAGCAGUGAAAUGCGUAGAGAUGUGGAGGAAUACCGAUGGCGAAGGCAGCCUCCUGGGAUAACACUGACGUUCAUGCUCGAAAGCGUGGGUAGCAAACA
RNAcentral lists this ribosomal RNA (757 nucleotides) under Neisseria cinerea. RNAcentral describes it as "bacterial SSU rRNA". It matches the Rfam family "Bacterial small subunit ribosomal RNA", at positions 28 to 774 of the family's 1533-position model. Lineage: Bacteria; Pseudomonadati; Pseudomonadota; Betaproteobacteria; Neisseriales; Neisseriaceae. The record is from RNAcentral.